This is a long non-coding RNA of Crotalus tigris (Tiger rattlesnake), 1185 nucleotides long. RefSeq lists it as uncharacterized. The transcript has 6 exons. NCBI's taxonomy places the organism in Eukaryota, Metazoa, Chordata, Lepidosauria, Squamata, Viperidae. The record is from RefSeq and is a predicted model, not a curated record.
CCUCCCGCCGCUCGGGGCUGCCUGGCGCGGCCGGGCUUCCUGCUUCUGUUCUUUCUGUGCCCUCAGAGCAGGGGGUGACUCUUGGAACCCCCCUACCCUCGUUCUGCAUAAACGAUCUUCCCAAGUAUUGAUAUUAAACUGAUUGGUCUGUAGUUUUCUGGUCCAUUUACUAUGGUGGGAAGAUAGAAGGAAAGAUACCGUAUUUUUCCAACCAGGAAACGAAGACUCUGAUGUCUCUUCUAACAGUUACUCUCAGCAAAUCACUGGACUCAAUAACUUCUUGGCUGGAGUAAUGGGAGAUGCCUGCCUUUAACCGAUCUUGUCAUGUCCCCAUUUGAGGGAAGAAAGCACCUUUAAUAAGAGAAUUGAUGAGAAAGUUCAGAAUUAACCAUCUUCUUGCAAUAUUGUUUCCCAAACCAAAUCCUUCUAUCAAAGCAAUCUGUAGAAAGCAAGGUUAUUAAUGAUAAGAGCGGGAAUUGCUAUCAAAUUGCUGAACAACGAAAAGGCCAAAGUAUCAAAAAUUGCCAUUAUCUCUGCAACAAAGAUUAUAUGACAUGUGCGAAGAAAAAGCCAGAAUGAAUUCAAGUAUGUCUCCUGAAGGCAAAUGAUAUUAACUAAUAUUAUAAAGAGCAGUGGCAGUAAACGGAAAGUAUUUCAAGGUGUUCAGUUCCUUCUCUGCAGAUGAGGUUUGACCUUCGCGUUCUCUGAGGGCCUCAUUUCCCUGAACAAUGGGAAGUUUCAGGGGAGCACUCAUUUCAUUUGGGGUUUUUUGAGAAGGAAAGUUGGCUGGAAACAUCCUUUUUGUAAUAUCUGAAUAUAUUUUAUAAAUAUCCAUUGCAUAUAUGAUAGAAAGCAACAACUUAACAGUCAACAAUGCCAAUAUUUACUUUCCAGAUUACUGAUCCUUAGAAAUGGGCCCUCUUAUUUAUCUCAAGUAGUUAAACAGAUGCCCCUACCUUCCCUCAAUCUGUGCAUCUCUGUCCCUUAUCCCACUGGUUUCUGUAACCUUCCUCUUUUUGUGCUGCUAAAGAAUUUGCUUAUUCGGUAUUACUUUUUGUGGAGAGAAUUAUAUAAAGAUUGCCCAAUAAGGACACUUGUAGAGGGGUCCAAAAAGUAAACAUGGUAAUCACAAUUGCAUGGUCAAAUCCCUGUUACUUUUUAACAUACAUUAUAUAUUUAAGAUCA